RNAcentral lists this ribosomal RNA (443 nucleotides) under uncultured bacterium. RNAcentral describes it as "bacterial SSU rRNA". It matches the Rfam family "Bacterial small subunit ribosomal RNA", at positions 335 to 795 of the family's 1533-position model. The record is from RNAcentral.
ACUCCUACGGGAGGCAGCAGUGGGGAAUAUUGCGCAAUGGGGGAAACCCUGACGCAGCAACGCCGCGUGAAUGAAGAAGGCCUUAGGGUUGUAAAGUUCUGUUUUCUGGGACGAUAAUGACGGUACCAGAGGAGGAAGCCACGGCUAACUACGUGCCAGCAGCCGCGGAAAUACGUAGGUGGCAAGCGUUGUCCGGAUUUACUGGGCGUAAAGGAUGCGUAGGCGGAUGUUUAAGUGAGAUGUGAAAUACCCGAGCUCAACUUGGGUGCUGCAUUUCAAACUGGAUAUCUAGAGUGCAGGAGAGGAAAGCGGAAUUCCUAGUGUAGCGGUGAAAUGCGUAGAGAUUAGGAAGAACACCAGUGGCGAAGGCGGCUUUCUGGACUGUAACUGACGCUGAGGCAUGAAAGCGUGGGGAGCAAACAGGAUUAGAUACCCUGGUAGUC